CCUACGUGGGGCAGCAGUGGGGAAUAUUGGACAAUGGGGGAAACCCUGAUCCAGCGACGCCGCGUGAGUGAAGAAGUAUUUCGGUAUGUAAAGCUCUAUCAGCAGGAAAGAAAAUGACGGUACCUGACUAAGAAGCCCCGGCUAACUACGUGCCAGCAGCCGCGGUAAUACGUAGGGGGCAAGCGUUAUCCGGAUUUACUGGGUGUAAAGGGAGCGUAGACGGCAGCGCAAGUCUGGAGUGAAAUGCCGGGGCCCAACCCCGGAACUGCUCUGGAAACUGUGAAGCUGGAGUGCAGGAGAGGUAAGCGGAAGUCCGGGUGUAGCGGUGAAAUGCGUAGAUAUCAGGAGGAACACCAGCGGCGAAGGCGGCUUACUGGACUGUAACUGACGUUGAGGCUCGAAGGCGUGGGGAGCAAACAGGAUUAGAUACCCGAGUAGUC
RNAcentral lists this ribosomal RNA (440 nucleotides) under uncultured bacterium. RNAcentral's name for it is "partial 16S ribosomal RNA". It matches the Rfam family "Bacterial small subunit ribosomal RNA", at positions 338 to 795 of the family's 1533-position model. The record is from RNAcentral.